RNAcentral lists this long non-coding RNA (388 nucleotides) under Elaeis guineensis (African oil palm). RNAcentral's name for it is "long non-coding RNA (EGUI_LNC039565)". Lineage: Eukaryota; Viridiplantae; Streptophyta; Magnoliopsida; Arecales; Arecaceae. The record is from RNAcentral.
AUUUGCCCUCCAACGGUGAUCCACACAGGACUAUGAUCAGAAUACUAACUCUUUAAGAUGAUUUUUCCUCCAAAAUUCUCACUCUGAGAAUUUUUUUAGACACCAGAACCUCAAGACCCUCUUCCUCUUCUCCAAGCCUUCCUAUCCCUGCCUUUCUUCUCUCAUUGUCUUCCUUAAUUCUCUUCCUAAACUCUUAUCCUAAAAUCAGACUUAUUAUUACUAUUUUUGGACUUAUCCUAAUAAGAGAAGGAAGAGACUAAUUGGACAAUAGAGAGAGAAUAUUAGAAAGAAAAGAGAAAUUGAAAAUCUGAAUGAAUCAAACCCCCCGACGCACCCUCUUUAAAUACUUAGCGACGGGUUGCCUUCGGGAAUUAUUCGCGCCCCCUCC